GACAGAGGAUGCAAGCGUUCUCCGGAAUGAUUGGGCGUAAAGCGUCCGUAGGUGGCUUUUUAAGUCUGCCGUCAAAUCCCAGGGCUUAACCCUGGACAGGCGGUGGAAACUACCAAGCUGGAGUACGGUAGGGGCAGAGGGAAUUUCCGGUGGAGCGGUGAAAUGCGUAGAUAUCGUUUGGAACGCCAAUGGUGAAAACAGGUUGCUGGGAGUGUGCUGACGCUGAGACACGAAAGCCAGGGGAGCGAACGGG
RNAcentral lists this ribosomal RNA (253 nucleotides) under uncultured bacterium. RNAcentral's name for it is "partial 16S ribosomal RNA". It matches the Rfam family "Bacterial small subunit ribosomal RNA", at positions 524 to 776 of the family's 1533-position model. The record is from RNAcentral.